UACGGAGGAUGCGAGCGUUAUCCGGAUUUAUUGGGUUUAAAGGGUGCGUAGGCGGGCUUUUAAGUCAGCGGUAAAAAUUCGGGGCUCAACCCCGUCCGGCCGUUGAAACUGGGGGCCUUGAGUAGGCGAGAAGAAGGCGGAAUGCGUGGUGUAGCGGUGAAAUGCAUAGAUAUCACGCAGAACCCCGAUUGCGAAGGCAGCCUUCCGGCGCCCUACUGACGCUGAGGCACGAAAGUGCGGGGAUCGAACAGG
This 252-nucleotide ribosomal RNA is filed under the name uncultured bacterium. RNAcentral's name for it is "partial 16S ribosomal RNA". It matches the Rfam family "Bacterial small subunit ribosomal RNA", at positions 524 to 776 of the family's 1533-position model. The record is from RNAcentral.